RNAcentral lists this ribosomal RNA (492 nucleotides) under uncultured bacterium. RNAcentral's name for it is "partial 16S ribosomal RNA". It matches the Rfam family "Bacterial small subunit ribosomal RNA", at positions 29 to 507 of the family's 1533-position model. The record is from RNAcentral.
AGUGAACGCUGGCGGUAGGCCUAACACAUGCAAGUCGAACGGCAGCACAGUAAGAGCUUGCUCUUACGGGUGGCGAGUGGCGGACGGGUGAGGAAUACAUCGGAAUCUACUUUUUCGUGGGGGAUAACUUAGGGAAACUUACGCUAAUACCGCAUACGACCUACGUGUGAAAGCACGGGAUCUUCGGACCUUGCGCGAUUGAAUGAGCCGAUGUCGGAUUAGCUAUUUGGCGGGUUAAAGGCCCACCAAGGCGACGAUCCGUAGCUGGUCUGAGAGGAUGGUAAGCCACACUGGAACUUGGAGACGGUCCAUAGUCCUACGGGAGGCAGCAGGGGGGAAUAUUGGACAAUGGGCGCAGGCCUGAUCCAGCCAUACCGCGUGGGUGAAGAAGGCCUUCGGGUUGUAAAGCCCUUUUGUUGGGAAAGAAGAGCAGCAGGUUAAUACCCCGCUAUUCUGACGGUACCCAAAGAAUAAGCACCGGCUAACUUCGUG